GCCGCUCCGAGAAAUCAUCCCCUCCCUGCUAUUAAGUGCACGCUGCCAUUGCACCUUAAUCGCGCGUCACAGCUCGUAUGCAGUAGCUGUGGGAAAGCUGCAUUUAUUUGUACAGGAAGCUUGAGAACAGCACUUCCUACUUCCCAUCCGAGACUCAAUUCAACUGCAGCUCCUGUAUUUUCUUCCUGCAGCUGCCCCCUUUGCUACUCUUCCUUCAUCACACAAGUACUUGAUUUGCCACAGAUGAAGCUCAGCAAGAAAACUCCUCCUGUUCUCAGCCCCCGUGCUUAGCACCACAGCACUUGAACAGCAAAAGGCAAUUAUCUCAAGGAGGAGAGUGGAUGUCCACAGCAAAGAGUAGCCGAAGGUGAUGUGACACUGUGCAGGAGCUCAGGCUAUAAGGACUUGAGAUGAUCAAUACUGAUGAUUCUUGCAAUUGUCAUCACUAAAAGACGUGAGCUGGACUUUUAUGAGCUCUUCUGUCAAAAUGAUUUCUCUUCCAGCUACACCUCGAGCCCAGAACCAUGCUAGAGGAAAAAAAAAUAAAAUAGAGCCUCAGCAGAAAGCCAUGAGAAGUCAGCCUGCUACCCCAGUGGGUGGGUUUCAGGUACUUGCAAAUCUCAGCUUAAAGAUCCAGGCCAAUAGCUUUGACAGGGUAUUACCGGAAUUUCAGUGCGAACUUGUCUUCUUGGGACCUGGAAGCAUUGAGACAAAGUGUACUUGCCCAUAGCAAAACCUGCUGGUGGCAGAGCUCUACUGGCAAUACCAUCAGGAGUGGCAUUUUACCACUGGCAACCAAACAGCUCAGCAACAGCUCUACAGAAACUUUUGCUUCGGCUAACUCCUUCCUGCUCACUAAGUGUAUGAAGAGCCAGCCCGCAAGAAGGAAGCAAGCUAGGUUUCAAUGAGCCUGCCAUAAAUAAGACACUGACGAGCUGCCACUGAACAGCAGAUGUCCAGCCCAGGAGCAGCCAGAGCAGCACCCUCAGCCCAGGGCAUGUCCUCAGCCACCUCCUUCACUCCAGACGCAGGGAAGAGGCAGGCAGGCUUCUGUCACACUCCCCCUUGACCUUCUCCUGUGACAUGAGGCAUGCCAGCCAUCGUCUUGCAAGGCAGUUCUGUUCCUCCCCAGCUGCACAGUGAUCAUCAAUGAGGUGACAGCACUGCUUCUGGAGACACUGUCACUG
Molecule: non-coding RNA, 1187 nt
Organism: Cyanistes caeruleus (blue tit)
Lineage: Eukaryota; Metazoa; Chordata; Aves; Passeriformes; Paridae
Source: RefSeq, a predicted model, not a curated record